UCAACCAAUCACAACCCAGAUCUCUUCUCACACUUCGCUGGGUCAAGUAGGGGGGAGCAGACCUCCAAACUAGGUGUGGAGUCGUCGACAUAUAAGCUUUCUAGAAGAUGUUCACUUCUUCUUCUACCCUUCACAGGACGAUGUUGUGGUGUCUUGUCCUGCUGGGAAUCCUGAGAACGGCGUACGGAGCAUGUGGAGGACAAAUCUCAACGCGCACCAGCACGUCGUUCAACAGCCUGGACUACCCCCAGCCGUACCAGACUAACGAGGACUGCAUGUGGACGCUGUCUGUCUUCGGCUCUAACGUCGCCAUCAAGCUGAGCUUUGAGGAGAUCGACAUCGACCCUUACCCCUCCCACAUCACCACGCCGGGCUCCUGCAGCAGGCACUAUCUGGAGAUAUACGAGGGCAACCCUACAUCCGGGACAAAGUUAGGAACGUUCUGCGGCAGGGUCCUUCCUCCGAUUAUGAUCGCAAACGGCAACACCAUGACGGUCAAGUUCAUCACUACCGGCUUCUCCAACAAUAACUACAGGGGCUUCUUGGCAACCUUUUCGUCGGUAUCACUAAGUUCUGGCCCUGACUCGGGUUGCAACAACCUUCGGCAACUCUCGGCUCCGAGCGGCUCUAUCGCCUCUAUUAACUACCCUGACGACUACAGCAGCAGCACGCAGUGUGAGUGGGAGAUCACCGUGGCCCAGAACAAACACGUGGAACUCAACGUGCUCAACUUCCUAGUGGGCGGCCUCGCGGCAACUUGUGUGAACGAGACCAACGACUAUCUGUCCGUGUACGAAGGCAUUGGCGUCAACCGGAAACGUUUGGAAGUUUACUGCGGAUGGGAGUCACGCAGUGUGAGAGCUUACUCCAACCAAAUGUUCGUAAAAUUCGUGUCGGACGACUUUAUCAACAAAAAGGGCUUCUUUGCGACGUACCGUUCAGUAGGUUGACCAAACGACAGGAUGGACUACCGAACGGCGCUGUCUGUGUUACUUGUCCUUAACUGUGCAUCCUGGAUCGCCGGUGAUCAGCAGUGUGGUGGUGAUUAUCAUACAAGCAACUAUGACACAAUCUCGUCCCCAGGAUUCCCUGGAGCAUACACCCCUGGGGACGACUGCAUCUGGCACCUCAGCGUACCAGAAGGUCACCUGGUCCAGCUGACGUUUGCGUACCUGGGAACCGAUCCCUGGCCCCUUGCCCCACAGAACUGUGCCCGUCACUACGUGGAGGUGUUCGACUCUCCAGAACAGGGAGGAGCUCUUCUCGGCCGGUACUGUGGAGAUAUCAUCCCUCCCGUGGUCCUGUCCUCCGGGAACUCUCUGUCAGUCAAGUUCAUCACCAGCAGGUGGUCCACAAACAUCCAGGGCUUCCACGGGUUCAAGGCCAAGUUUGCCAGCGUUCUGGCGGGAAGCAUUGUUGAGAGCGGCUGUCGCAGUCCUCGGAAGAAUACCUACCCAACCGGAACUCUGACGUCCAUCCACUUCCCGUCAGACUAUGAUGACAUCGUGUGUAAGUGGGAGGUUCUGGUGGAACCUGGACAGAACAUCACUCUCAAACUCCGCAGCUUCCAUGUGGGAGGAAUCUUCCCGCUAAAGCCACUGUGUGAUGCUGAAACUGGCAGACUCACUGUGCAUGAUGGAGUAGGCAGUGACAAGAACCAUCUCGUGUCGAUCUGCGGCAGAAUGUCGGAAGAGGAGACGUACUCAGUGACAACAGCGACCAAUCAGAUGACAGUGGAAUUCAGGGCGGGAAACACGGGACCGUACAAGGGCUUCUUCGCAACGUAUGAAUCGUCUGGUUACCAAGUCAUGGAUCCUGCCUCUACUGCCCCAAUGACAGGAAGUGCUCAUACCUUACGGGCGUACUUCCCAUGGUGCCUUUUGUGUCUGUUGGCAGCGGCCAUCUCGUUCCUGCACAUGAGCUUAUAACUGAACUGAUCUGUACAUACAUGUAAUGCAUUUAUUGCCAACAGCAGUACUGUAGUGUUAAUCAUGUACAGCUACAUUAAGCAUUCAAGAGUAGAGACUAUUACAUUGCCAUCAUUGCAAUUUUCCUGGUAGAGUUUUAGUCCAUGCUUUGGGCUGACAUUAAUCAAUGACCAUAAAACAUGACAAGUCUUUUGACACAAAUUAAAUGAUUUACAUAAUAUAUAUUACAAUAAACAAGUCCAUGUGGUACAUAUACAUGGAUUUCAAUGCCUUGAUUUAAGAAAAAGACAGUUGAAAUCAUUUUACGUGAACUUUUGACAAAACAGCUCUUGUAUAUAUCCAAGAAGUGUCACCAUGUAACCCAGCUAUGUCAUGACUGCCCAGGUUUUUGCUUGAUAUCAUGAUAACUGUUUUUGCUGUUUUCUUGUGGAGCUGUUUGUACAUAUGUGUGAAGAGAUCAUAUUAUGUAAAUAGCUACCUAGAUUUGUGAUAUAGAUAUGGCAUUCAGUGAAUGGAGGAUUAGAGUGUGAGGUACAAGACAUCUAUCGCUGUUAAUGUCUAUCUUUUCUGAUGAACAUGAUCUCAAGGUGCUGUCUCUUCUAGGUGCUCUUAGGUGAAGUCCUUGUGGUGCUCUAUUGCCUUUCUCAGAGAAAACUUCUUGGCUUUACCAAAUGCACAAUUUCUACUGGUACUGUUAGUUGGAACAUGACAAGAUGUAGUUCUUGUCUCAAUCACACAGAGGCGCUGUUGCACAGCAUUUUGUGAUGAAAUACUUGGUGCAAGGAGACAGUGACAGUACCCUUUCAAUGAAAUUCACCUUGAAGAUAAAUUCUUUGCUGUCUUGCAAACAAUGAUUUUCAAAGAUUCUCCCCUGGUCAUGUUCUAGAAACUGGCUACAAUGUAAUUGUUGUACAUAUAACAUAUUUAUAGUGUCUCUUAUAAUGCCUUAUAAUGUCUUUUGUAAAUAGACAAUUGUUGCCUUUAAUUCAGUGAUAUUUUUGAUUGUGAAAUCAUUCAUAAUUUUGAACGGUGAUAUUUGUGUGAAAUUUUCAGGAUGAAGGGAAGUUCUUGUAUCAUACAGUGGAGGGAAAUGGUUCAAUAACUCAGAAGGCUGAUGGAUAAUUAUUAAUCUUAUGAACUGUGAUCAUUGUAAAUCAAUUGUAAAUUUGACAAAAGAAAUGAUUGCUGAUGUUGUAUGUUUGUUUUGUUUUGUUUGGGGCGAAUA
Molecule: RNA transcript, 3153 nt
Organism: Branchiostoma belcheri (Belcher's lancelet)
Lineage: Eukaryota; Metazoa; Chordata; Leptocardii; Amphioxiformes; Branchiostomatidae
Gene name: dorsal-ventral patterning tolloid-like protein 1
Exons: 13
Source: RefSeq, a predicted model, not a curated record